UGGGGAAUAUUGCACAAUGGGCGAAAGCCUGAUGCAGCAACGCCGCGUGAGUGAUGAAGGUCUUCGGAUUGUAAAGCUCUGUCUUUUGGGACGAUAAUGACGGUACCAAAGGAGGAAGCCACGGCUAACUACGUGCCAGCAGCCGCGGUAAUACGUAGGUGGCGAGCGUUGUCCGGAUUUACUGGGCGUAAAGGGUGCGUAGGCGGAUGUUUAAGUGAGAUGUGAAAUACCCGGGCUUAACUUGGGUGCUGCAUUUCAAACUGGAUAUCUAGAGUGCAGGAGAGGGGAAUGGAAUUCCUAGUGUAGCGGUGAAAUGCGUAGAGAUUAGGAAGAACACCAGUGGCGAAGGCGAUUCUCUGGACUGUAACUGACGCUGAGGCACGAAAGCGUGGGUAGCAAACAGGAUUAGAUACCCUGGUAGUCCACGCCGUAAACGAUGAGUACUAGGUGUAGGAGGUAUCGACCCCUUCUGUGCCGCAGUAAACACAUUAAGUACUCCGCCCGGGAAGUACGAUCGCAAGAUUAAAAC
Molecule: ribosomal RNA, 529 nt
Filed under: uncultured bacterium
Lineage: Bacteria
Description: partial 16S ribosomal RNA
Rfam family: Bacterial small subunit ribosomal RNA
Source: RNAcentral